Molecule: ribosomal RNA, 301 nt
Filed under: uncultured bacterium
Lineage: Bacteria
Description: partial 16S ribosomal RNA
Rfam family: Bacterial small subunit ribosomal RNA
Source: RNAcentral
CAGUCGCCACGGUAAUACGUAGGUGGCAAGCGUUGUCCGGAAUUAUUGGGCGUAAAGCGCGCGCAGGCGGAUAGGUCAGUCUGUCUUAAAAGUUCGGGGCUUAACCCCGUGAUGGGAUGGAAACUGCCAAUCUAGAGUAUCGGAGAGGAAAGUGGAAUUCCUAGUGUAGCGGUGAAAUGCGUAGAUAUUAGGAAGAACACCAGUGGCGUAGGCGACUUUCUGGACGAAAACUGACGCUGAGGCGCGAAAGCCAGGGGAGCGAACGGGAUUAGAUACCCGCGUAGUCCCUGUCUCUUAUACA